GCUAGCGUGCAGUGUAGACACACCUCUUAGGGCACCCACUGGAGGAUGAAUAGGCCAGUAGUAUCUAAUGCCUUCUGAAUGAAACAGCUUCACCAGGAACUCCCCCCACCCUAUGUGAGUGCUCUAAAUAACUGAGGCGCUGUAUAAAAUGAGGACCUUGCUGCUAUGUCUUGUGGCAGGGCCUAAUCAGGCAGAAUCAUAGAUGGCAGGAUGGUGUGGAAAGGUGUGCAAAGAGAAAGCAACAUCUUCCAGUUGGCUGUGGCUCAGAAUUUGCUGCCAUGGCCGUGCGUUCUCUAUAAAAAGCCUUUCAGCCAGACUGACUUCAGGCACAGUUGAGAGCAAGAAGCGUUGCAGAGGUUUCAUGGUGGCAGGAGCCGGCCCGAGAGGGCUGCUUUCAUAAUGAGCUAAUCCACGGCAAAAGGAAGAAAACAAACAAGCACAGAGACAAAGAC
Molecule: long non-coding RNA, 452 nt
Organism: Alligator sinensis (Chinese alligator)
Lineage: Eukaryota; Metazoa; Chordata; Crocodylia; Alligatoridae
Exons: 5
Source: RefSeq, a predicted model, not a curated record